CCUAUAAGACUGGGAUAACUUCGGGAAACCGAAGCUAAUGCCGGAUAACAUUUGGAACCGCAUGGUUCUAAAGUAAAAGAUGGUUUUGCUAUCACUUAUAGAUGGACCCGCGCCGUAUUAGCUAGUUGGUAAGGUAACGGCUUACCAAGGCAACGAUACGUAGCCGACCUGAGAGGGUGAUCGGCCACACUGGAACUGAGACACGGUCCAGACUCCUACGGGAGGCAGCAGUAGGGAAUCUUCCGCAAUGGACGAAAGUCUGACGGAGCAACGCCGCGUGAGUGAUGAAGGUUUUCGGAUCGUAAAACUCUGUUAUUAAGGAAGAACAAAUGUGUAAGUAACUGUGCACAUCUUGACGGUACCUAAUCAGAAAGCCACGGCUAACUACGUGCCAGCAGCCGCGGUAAUACGUAGGUGGCAAGCGUUAUCCGGAAUUAUUGGGCGUAAAGCGCGCGUAGGCGGUUUCUUAAGUCUGAUGUGAAAGCCCACGGCUCAACCGUGGAGGGUCAUUGGAAACUGGGAAACUUGAGUACAGAAGAGGAAAGUGGAAUUCCAUGUGUAGCGGUGAAAUGCGCAGAGAUAUGGAGGAACACCAGUGGCAAAGGCGACUUUCUGGUCUGUAACUGACGCUGAUGUGCGAAAGCGUGGGGAUCAAACAGGAUUAGAUACCCUGGUAGUCCACGCCGUAAACGAUGAGUGCUAAGUGUUAGGGGGUUUCCGCCCCUUAGUGCUGCAGCUAACGCAUUAAGCACUCCGCCUGGGGAGUACGACCGCAAGGUUGAAACUCAA
RNAcentral lists this ribosomal RNA (789 nucleotides) under uncultured Staphylococcus sp. RNAcentral describes it as "bacterial SSU rRNA". It matches the Rfam family "Bacterial small subunit ribosomal RNA", at positions 129 to 904 of the family's 1533-position model. The record is from RNAcentral. Lineage: Bacteria; Bacillati; Bacillota; Bacilli; Caryophanales; Staphylococcaceae.